UACGGGGGGGGCAAGCGUUGUGCGGAAUUACUGGGCGUAAAGGGCUCGUAGGCGGCCAACUAAGUCAGACGUGAAAUCCCUCGGCUUAACCGGGGAACUGCGUCUGAUACUGGAUGGCUUGAGAUUGGGAGAGGGAUGCGGAAUUCCAGGUGUAGCGGUGAAAUGCGUAGAUAUCUGGAGGAACACCGGUGGCGAAGGCGGCAUCCUGGACCAACACUGACGCUGAGGAGCGAAAGCCAGGGGAGCAAACGGG
RNAcentral lists this ribosomal RNA (253 nucleotides) under uncultured bacterium. Its description in RNAcentral is "partial 16S ribosomal RNA". It matches the Rfam family "Bacterial small subunit ribosomal RNA", at positions 524 to 776 of the family's 1533-position model. The record is from RNAcentral.